GACCACCGUUCACAUCGUUCUCCUUCCUUCCUGCUUUCCUUUGUAUAGAGAUUUCAGCAAGAAAAACUGGCACAGUAUAAUUUUCCUUGUUGACUGCACACAUUCUUGUGGUUUUGACUUUGAAAUCAUAACACUGGAGCUAGGAUUCUGGUGUCUACCAGAGUAAAACACGAGUUCCGGUAAGAUUCAUCUCCCCAGUGAAGCCUUUCCCAACCCAUCAUCAGAUACUUUUACAACUCCAGCUCUGACUUACCAUGUUUGCAACGUUGUUCUGUGACUAACUCUUUUGUGGUUGUGUUUUAUCGUUUUUCUAUUUUCUGCAUCUCAUUGUU
Molecule: long non-coding RNA, 332 nt
Filed under: Equus caballus (horse)
Lineage: Eukaryota; Metazoa; Chordata; Mammalia; Perissodactyla; Equidae
Description: lncRNA (ENSECAG00000052999.1)
Source: RNAcentral